UAGAGUGAGGUACAAAGUUGAUUUACAAUAAAAUUGAGAAAGACCCAAACUACAAUCUAGAAAUUUAGGAAUUGAUUUUUUUAUUUCGAUACGCGAACACGGAACCUACAAACACUAUCUAUUUGAUCUCCAUUCAUAUGCGAGGAAUUAAUUACUCUUGCAUUAUUGAUCAUAUGUAAGUAGAUAAAUUAACUUUCUAAAAACAUUUCGGUCGCCAUCGUAUUAGUUGAGAUUUUUGAUUACUACUUAUGUAAGUGCGGAUGAGGUAAUAAUAAAGUGCAGAAAGUAAAGAGAUAAGAAAUUUGUUAACGAGGUUCGGUUUUUCCUACUCCCCGGGACCACGUCCAGAUUUCGAUUUCACUAGAACAAGAAAGCAAAUUACAAUGAAUUCGCAAACGCGUAAAACAAGCACACCCCUCUUGAUUUACCGCUCCCUUCUAUAAACGUGAAACCUUAAGGAUAAUCUCUACCCUUAACUAAACUCCCCUGAGUCUAGAUUUAAUCAGGAUAACCUAACCCUGAGUUAAACUCCUUCUGAGCCUAGACUUCAAUUCUCCAAGUCUCUGGAAUAACCUUCACGCACCAACAAACAAGCUUGAUCACACAAGCACCAAACCCGCGAAACUAUGUCGCAUAAAACCGUGAAACUAUGUCGCACACACCCUUAGAAAGCUCUCAAUGAUUUGUCUUUAUGUCUCAGCUCUCCUGCCUCUCCAAGACGUCCUACCUCCUCCUUAUGUAGCCAAAACGAUUUCCUAAUCACCAUAGGAGAAGAUUUCCUUUUUCCAUAAGAAAAAGUAAAUUUACUCUUAUCCUUUUUCUCAUCAAACUCCACUUUCAUCAAGUCUUCCAAAUCUCUUUAAGUCCUUUUUCUUUUUUGAUUCAUCCUCUAAACACGCUCUUCUCAAAUCUUCUAGAAACCGAUACUCACACAAAACUGUCGCAUCCUGAAUUAUUUCUUGAAUCAUUCAGCAAUUUUAUCAGAUAAAAUCAUGUAUUACUUCUUGUAUCAUUCAACACUUUCAUCAGCAGCAGCUACAUCUUCAACUUAGUCCUGUAAUUUAUUUUCUUAACAUACAAUUGAAUUCAGCUAAUCGUCCUUGCGAAUGAUCAAAUGCAUAGAUAAUUGUAUCAUCCUAAA
This 1141-nucleotide small RNA is filed under the name Arabidopsis thaliana (thale cress). RNAcentral describes it as "ATSL257590". Lineage: Eukaryota; Viridiplantae; Streptophyta; Magnoliopsida; Brassicales; Brassicaceae. The record is from RNAcentral.